Molecule: long non-coding RNA, 1058 nt
Filed under: Glycine max (soybean)
Lineage: Eukaryota; Viridiplantae; Streptophyta; Magnoliopsida; Fabales; Fabaceae
Description: long non-coding RNA (GMAX_LNC002027)
Source: RNAcentral
CAAUACCCACACAUGCCUUUUGGAUUUCAUUGUCCACAAACGCCACCCAUUUGGAGGAUUCAGCACAAUAAGGUUUCUCUGCGAACUCGAUUUCAAGUGGAGUACCUACAUGGAUAUAUAGAUAUUUUCCAAAAACAAAGACAUUCAAUUAAUUAAAGGGCUCAACAUACUACUAGAAAAUAUUAACAUUAAAAUUAGUCACAAACAAUUUUCUUUAAAAAAAUUGUCAAUACAACUUGACGACCUCAAAAUUAGCAAGGAAAAACUAUAUUCUAUCACUAAAUUUAGUUUUUUUUAAUAAAAAAAAAUCACUAAAUUUAGUUACCACUUGGUUGGUAGUUGAGAAGGAGGAUUUAAGGAAAGAAGAUAUGGUGAGUUCGAAUAUUUCCACUAAUAUUUUAACAAAAACUAGUAAUUAACAUUAAUUAAUUAAUAAAAAAAAUUAGCUACCCGUUCAUUAUUUUUUAGUAGUGGUGAAAAAAAUGAUAAAAAAAAUUAAUUAGUAAGACAUUUUCAAACAUAUCCGUUAUAUUUCCCUCUUUUUUUUUUUUUUUUUUAUAAAUUGAAUGUAUCUUAAAAAGAAUGUUAGCUAAGCUGACAAUUUGGGUUGUCAUGUGUUUAUGAUCCUAAUUAAUUAAUCUCCACAAGGCUAUUAAGAGCAUGAUUGGUUUGCCUAUGUAUUGUUUGUUUAUUUAUUUUGAUUUUGUAUUGAAAUACGUGUCACAUACAAUAUUUUCAUAGCACAUCAAACACGUAUUAUUAAGUUGUUCAACUUACAAGAAAAAGCUAAUUAAUACAAGUUAUACAACUUAGCUAUAUAUGUGUUACCCGGAGAUUGAUUGAUAUAAUAGGCCUAUAAUAGUGUCAAACUAUAUGCAUCAAUUUCUGGUUAGAGACAUAUGAUGAUGAUGAGUACCUGUAAAGAUGAUUCCAGGGCUUAUCCCAGGUAUGCUGAAUUUGACUGGUGUGCCACGGAAGAUUUCUGAGUAAUCUUGCAAAACAGUAACUGGGCAGUUUGAGUUUCCUGUCCGGCCUAGUUUCAAUCCACCACCGGCAGC